UACGAAGGGGGCUAGCGUUGUUCGGAAUUACUGGGCGUAAAGCGCGCGCAGGCGGUUCUUCAAGUCAGUGGUGAAAGCCCGGAGCUCAACUCCGGAACUGCCAUUGAAACUGUGGAACUUGAGGAUGAGAGAGUGAGUGAAAUUCUGGUGUAGCGGUGAAAAAUGCGUAGAUAUCAAGGAGGAACACCUGUGGCGAAAAGCGGGCUCACUGGACCAUAACUGACGCUGA
This 229-nucleotide ribosomal RNA is filed under the name uncultured bacterium. RNAcentral's name for it is "partial 16S ribosomal RNA". It matches the Rfam family "Bacterial small subunit ribosomal RNA", at positions 524 to 749 of the family's 1533-position model. The record is from RNAcentral.